Molecule: ribosomal RNA, 813 nt
Filed under: uncultured bacterium
Lineage: Bacteria
Description: bacterial SSU rRNA
Rfam family: Bacterial small subunit ribosomal RNA
Source: RNAcentral
AACACAUGCAAGUCGAGGGGAAACGACAUCGAAAGCUUGCUUUUGAUGGGCGUCGACCGGCGCACGGGUGAGUAACGCGUAUCCAACCUGCCCACCACUUGGGGAUAACCUUGCGAAAGUAAGACUAAUACCCAAUGAUAUCUCUAGAAGACAUCUGAAAGAGAUUAAAGAUUUAUCGGUGAUGGAUGGGGAUGCGUCUGAUUAGCUUGUUGGCGGGGUAACGGCCCACCAAGGCAACGAUCAGUAGGGGUUCUGAGAGGAAGGUCCCCCACAUUGGAACUGAGACACGGUCCAAACUCCUACGGGAGGCAGCAGUGAGGAAUAUUGGUCAAUGGACGAGAGUCUGAACCAGCCAAGUAGCGUGCAGGAUGACGGCCCUAUGGGUUGUAAACUGCUUUUAUAAGGGAAUAAAGUGAGUCUCGUGAGACUUUUUGCAUGUACCUUUAUGAAUAAGGACCGGCUAAUUCCGUGCCAGCAGCCGCGGUAAUACGGAAGGUCCGGGCGUUAUCCGGAUUUAUUGGGUUUAAAGGGAGCGUAGGCCGGAGAUUAAGCGUGUUGUGAAAUGUAGAUGCUCAACAUCUGCACUGCAGCGCGAACUGGUUUCCUUGAGUACGCACAAAGUGGGCGGAAUUCGUGGUGUAGCGGUGAAAUGCUUAGAUAUCACGAAGAACUCCGAUUGCGAAGGCAGCUCACUGGAGCGCAACUGACGCUGAAGCUCGAAAGUGCGGGUAUCGAACAGGAUUAGAUACCCUGGUAGUCCGCACGGUAAACGAUGGAUGCCCGCUGUUGGUCUGAAUAGGUCAGCGGCCAAGC